AACGCACAUUGCGCCCGCUAGUACUCUAGCGGGCAUGCCUGUUCGAGCGUCAUUUCAACCCCCAAGCACUGCUUGGCGUUGGGGCCCUACAAGCUACUGUUGUAAGCCCUCAAAAAUAGUGGCGGGCUCGCUAUAACUCCGAGCGUAGUAGUUUAUCUCGCUUAGGGUGUUUUAGCAGGUUCCGGCCGUUAAACUCCUUAUUUUUUAAUGGUUGACCUCGGAUCAGGUAGGAAUACCCGCUGAACUUAA
RNAcentral lists this unclassified non-coding RNA (249 nucleotides) under uncultured fungus. RNAcentral's name for it is "sequence contains ITS2". The stretch from base 1 to 52 matches the Rfam family "5.8S ribosomal RNA", at positions 103 to 154 of the family's 154-position model. Lineage: Eukaryota; Fungi. The record is from RNAcentral.